Molecule: non-coding RNA, 1808 nt
Organism: Biomphalaria pfeifferi
Lineage: Eukaryota; Metazoa; Mollusca; Gastropoda; Planorbidae
Source: the annotation of a GenBank genome assembly
CUUUGAAAUUCACAUUUUUUAUUGUCUGAUAUAAAGAUCUAUUUACACAAUAAAUCUUGUUAAAAGACCAAAAUUAAUUAGCAUGAUCAACCAACCAUUCUUCUGCUCUGUGGUCACGUCACUAAAACAAAUAUGUACAAGCAAAUUUCAUUUCUUUGAACAAUUCCCCCUCCCCCUUCCAAAAUCUUAUCCUCAGGCACUCCACAUACAGACAAACACAUAGGCCUACAAUGUCUAGCAUUGUUUCCCUUGUUAGCCACCCCACAAUCACACACACACACUAAACAGGAAGUAUUCUACUAGUAGUGUUAUAUACAUCGUGACAUGGAUCUGUAUAUUUAGCACUGAUUACAUUUGGACUAAUUAAAGUAAAUGAAAAUAUAUAUAUACAUCUUUAUAUACUAAAUGUUGAUAUUGACAUUGGCAGCAAUACAAAUUAAACGUGUUCUGUUAAGAAGUCAAGACAAUCACAUGAAGUUUUUAGAUGUAGGUGGAAGUUUUGUAUUGCUUCUUAUAGAUCUGUUGUGUUGUUCUGUGUGUAUUUGGCAGUGGUUAGAAUGGAUCCUAGACGCUACUUAACUAUAGGCCUACAAAGCAGAGAGAGCACACACAAGGAAAAGGCCAGAAGUAUAUCAACAUGUUUUUUUUUAAAGGGGUUGUUAAUAUAUUCUUGAUUUCGUGCAUGUAUUUUUUUGUAUCCAGAGCAUUGUCUAUUUAAUUGAAAGUUGCGUUUGGUCUGUGACAUCUUAUUAUUUUCACACAACAAAAGACAGCGUCUAUGUCUAGACCUUAUUCUGUCUUAUUGGAAUGUUUGAGAUCUGAUAACAUUAAAUAACAUCAACCAUAUUUUAGCUGGCAUGAAGUUGAUAUAAAAACCUGGCCACAUUGGGAUACCAAAAGAGUAACCAUGACAAUAUAGAUAAACACAAAAAAAAAUAAAAAAUACAAUAGUAGAAUACAUAGACGUCAUAGAUCUACAAACCUUAUUGGCGAGUGAAAAGAAAACUAUUUAGAUUCUAAAUCAAAUAAUACAGCGUAUGAUUGGUCAACGUGGAUAUUGAAUGUAGUCCAUUUGCAUUGCUUACAUUUCACACUAAUUAAAAAAAAAGAUCUAGAUCUAUAUAUUCUAGAUUUAGACUAUUUUUAGAAUCUCGAUCUAGUCUAUAAAUUAUAUGACUAUGUAGAUCAUUUAUACGGGAUCAUACAGUCAUAUCAUAUGAUUAACGACCUUUAAAAAAUACAUCUAUGUUUUAAUAACGCAUCCACCAUUGUGACUAUAAAAAUAAUGAAGCACACUUGCAUACAAAACAAACAUUUAUGUUUUAAAGAUCCCCAUUUGUUUUCAACACUCUCCAGGUCAGUGAAGUAACUUUGAUCACAGACCGACAUCUACUAUCUAGUUCUGAAAACGGAUCACGCAAAGAACUAAUUAAAAAAAUAACAUAAUCACUAGGCUAGAAAAUCAAGAUCCACCGGGAGCAAAUAAAAUUGAAACAAUUUAUAUUUAUAUCUUCCACUUGGGGGAAGGGGAGACAUCUUGAACAUGGUAAAACCUUUUUUUAAAAUACAUUUCAAACUUUGCUGACUACUGAAACUACAGGCCCUCCUAAGAAAAAAACAACAUUAAACCGGAAGAGAAAGAGUCGUAAUCGUCUGAUCGCUUUUUGAAAGUCUUGUAAUUCGAGAGAUUCCUACAAGGUAUGGAUGCUUUGUGUGCUGAGUAUUUUAUUUUUCAAAAAUCAUUUCUUAAAUACGAUAAUGUGGGGAAAAAAUGAAUGUUAAAGACUCUCCCCCCCCCCCCCCCCCCC